RNAcentral lists this long non-coding RNA (1599 nucleotides) under Homo sapiens (human). Its description in RNAcentral is "HSALNT0030146". The record is from RNAcentral. Lineage: Eukaryota; Metazoa; Chordata; Mammalia; Primates; Hominidae.
UUUAGAGGCAUUUCAUUUAGACAACUAAAAACAAUUAAAUGUUCAGAAGCAGUGUACAAUGAAAGAGAAAUCAAACCAGUUACUUUAUCAUGUAUUCCCUCUUUUUUACAACUAAAGCAAACAAACAAAGGCAUUCUGCUUUAAGGAAAAAAGUCAGAAAAAUAAGCCAAUAUAUUUUUCUUCUCCAUAAUAACAUAAACAGCUACAAGAACCCUAACUGUAAUAAGAGAAAUUGGAUGUUGGCUUGUAUAUAUUCAUUAAAAAGAUAACAGGCCACUGUACUACAAGAGGAUAACUCUACCUCUCUUCAUCUGAUACUCUUGAGUUUUCACUUACAGGUAACACCAAGUUAGUUGUUCCAGCACUGGAGCUAAUUCAUUUUCCCCAUUAUUUACUGCUCUUUCUGCCUUAAGCAGAGACCAAUCUUUGGCUUUGCCAGCUCACCACUCUCUUCUUCAGGAAGCACACAUUUCCAAAGGCCGUAUGUUUUUCCUACCACAGUUUGCCCUAGUCUCAAUGUUCCAUCUUCAGAACCACUGGCAUAGAGUUCUCCAUCACGACUAAAUCUCACACAGUGAAUAGGACCAAAGUAUCCCUUGUAGGAUUCGAAUUCUUCUCCAUGGUUAAAAUACUUAUAAAGUUUAAAAUCUUCACCACCUGCAACAAGAAAUUCUUUCUCAGGAUGAAGAGAUGCAGAAUUGAUGGUUGCAGGAGCUUCAAAGGAUGUAAUUGGGUCCAAACUUACUGCACUAUGAAAAGCAAUAGAUAGUCCAUAAGUUAUAACCAAAAUCUCUCCCUCAGGAAUGUAUUUUGUACUACUAACAGACAUAUUAAAAUUUAGAGAUUUCACUUCUGUCAUAGUAGCAUGAUCCCAAAGUCGAGCAGUUUUGUCAUCAGCAGAAAGAAUCUGUUUAUCCUCACUGCACCAUAGGAGCCUUUUUUUUAUACCAGAAGUGUGACCACUAAUUUCCUUAGGUCUUGCUUUGGGUUUGUUCAAGUCAUACAUGCGUAACAGUUUAUCCUGUCCCUUGGUUAACAAAUAAUUACUAUCCUGCAUGAAAUACACAGUCUUGACAAUGUAUUUAUGAGCCAAGGUCAUCAAUUCAUCUCCUAAGACAGCAUCCCACACUUUGGCUGUGAAAUCUGCAGCUGCUGUUGCUGCUUUGGUGGCAUUCAGUGUUGCACCCCAAACAGCACCUUUAUGACCCCAAAAUGUUCCAAUCCAGUCUCCUGUAUCUCCCUGGCGUAGCAUAGGUUUACCAUCUUUGUAAGCGCUGGUUAAGAAAUACCCAUAAGUCGUGAUGCCACUGAAGGCCAAAUCAACCAUGGGCCACGUGUGGCCAAAGUAGGUGAGCAGCGUCUGUCUCAUUGCCAUGGUGGCAGUGAACCCAGCGACCAGACUGGCGAGCUGAGUGUUGUCGUUCUCUUUUCUCUCUUCUGCUGCAGCACCUUGGGCUCCUCCAGGCCCCCGCCCUGACACUAGGGCUGGGCUGCAAAACAGGAAAAGGAGGACAAUCUGGUGGCACUGAGGUUAGGAAGGGGUGACGGAGGGGUCAGGGAGUCUGACAUGGGCAAGUAACAGUCGACCAGGGAGGGAAA